This 253-nucleotide ribosomal RNA is filed under the name uncultured bacterium. RNAcentral describes it as "partial 16S ribosomal RNA". It matches the Rfam family "Bacterial small subunit ribosomal RNA", at positions 526 to 779 of the family's 1533-position model. The record is from RNAcentral.
CAGAGGGUGCGAGCGUUAAUCGGAAUUACUGGGCGUAAAGCGCGCGUAGGCGGUUUAUUAAGUCGGAUGUGAAAUCCCUGAGCUUAACUUAGGAAUUGCAUUCGAUACUGGUAAGCUAGAGUAUGGGAGAGGAAGGUAGAAUUCCAGGUGUAGCGGUGAAAUGCGUAGAGAUCUGGAGGAAUACCGAUGGCGAAGGCAGCCUUCUGGCCUAAUACUGACGCUGAGGUGCGAAAGCAUGGGAGCAAACAGGAUU